AUGUGCUGUGAGCUCGAUGAGUAGGGCGGGACACGUGGUAUCCUGUCUGAAUAUGGGGGGACCAUCCUCCAAGGCUAAAUACUCCUGACUGACCGAUAGUGAACCAGUACCGUGAGGGAAAGGCGAAAAGAACCCCGGCGAGGGGAGUGAAAAAGAACCUGAAACCGUGUACGUACAAGCAGUGGGAGCCCCACCACUAAGCCAGUGGUGAACUCCACAUACGCAUCCUUUGCUGAGGAUACGGUUAACGGAGCGAAAGCGACGUUCAACCGCAAAAGAAGCAGAGGGGGCUUAGUGGUGGGGUGACUGCGUACCUUUUGUAUAAUGGGUCAGCGACUUAUAUUCUGUAGCAAGGUUAACCGAAUAGGGGAGCCGGAGGGAAACCGAGUCUUAAC
Molecule: ribosomal RNA, 395 nt
Filed under: Salmonella enterica
Lineage: Bacteria; Pseudomonadati; Pseudomonadota; Gammaproteobacteria; Enterobacterales; Enterobacteriaceae
Also listed under: 3 other names
Description: partial 23S ribosomal RNA
Rfam family: Bacterial large subunit ribosomal RNA
Source: RNAcentral